GAUGAACGCUGGCGGCGUGCUUAACACAUGCAAGUCGAACGGAAGGGCCACAGCUUGCUGUGGUACUCGAGUGGCGAACGGGUGAGUAACACGUGGGUGAUCUGCCCUGUACUUCGGGAUAAGCUUGGGAAACUGGGUCUAAUACCGGAUAGGAAUCACAUGUGGGUGUGUGGUUGGAAAGCUUUUGCGGUAUGGGAUGAGCUCGCGGCCUAUCAGCUUGUUGGUGGGGUAAUGGCCUACCAAGGCGUCGACGGGUAGCCGGCCUGAGAGGGUGUACGGCCACAGUGGGAGUGAGAUGCGGCCCAGACUCCGAGGGGAGGAAGAAGGGGGAAAUUGUGCCAAAGGGGCGCACGCCGGAUGCAGCGGCGCCGCGGGGGGGAGAACGCCCUUGGGUUUGUAACCUCCUUUCGCCGGGGACGAAGCGAAGGGGAGGGUCCCGGAAAAAAAAGCCCCGGCUAACUCGGUG
Molecule: ribosomal RNA, 466 nt
Filed under: uncultured bacterium
Lineage: Bacteria
Description: partial 16S ribosomal RNA
Rfam family: Bacterial small subunit ribosomal RNA
Source: RNAcentral